This 450-nucleotide ribosomal RNA is filed under the name uncultured bacterium. RNAcentral describes it as "partial 16S ribosomal RNA". It matches the Rfam family "Bacterial small subunit ribosomal RNA", at positions 330 to 777 of the family's 1533-position model. The record is from RNAcentral.
ACCAGACUCCUACGGGAGGCAGCAGUGAGGAAUAUUGGUCAAUGGGCGGAAGCCUGAACCAGCCAAGUCGCGUGAGGGAAGAAGGCCCUGCGGGUCGCAGACCUCUUUGGACGGGGAGCAAGGCCGCCGACGUGUCGGCGGAAGGAGAGUACCCGUAGAACAAGCUCCGGCUAACUACGUGCCAGCAGCCGCGGUAAUACGUAGGGAGCAAGCGUUGUCCGGAAUUACUGGGUGUAAAGGGAGCGUAGGCGGGAUGGCAAGUUGGGUGUUAAAUCUACCGGCUCAACUGGUAGUCGCGCUCAAAACUGCUAUUCUUGAGUGAAGUAGAGGCAGGCGGAAUUCCUAGUGUAGCGGUGAAAUGCGUAGAUAUUAGGAGGAACACCAGUGGCGAAGGCGGCCUGCUGGGCUUUUACUGACGCUGAGGCUCGAAAGUGUGGGGAGCAAACAGGA